GAUGAACGCUGGCGGUAUGCUUAACACAUGCAAGUCGAACGGACUCUUCGGAGUUAGUGGCGGACGGGUGAGUAACGCGUGAGAAUCUGGCUUUGGGUUCGGGACAACCACUGGAAACGGUGGCUAAUACCGGAUGUGCCGAGAGGUAAAAGAGAAAUCGCCUGAAGCUGAGCUCGCGUCUGAUUAGCGAGUUGGUGAGGUAAAGGCUCACCAAGGCAGCGAUCAGUAGCUGGUCGGAGAGGAUGACCAGCCACACUGGGACUGAGACACGGCCCACACUCCUCCGAGCCGCAGCAGUGGGGAAUUUUCCGCAUUGCGCGAAAGCCUGACGGAGCAAUACCGCGUGGGGGAAGAAGGUUCUUGGGUUAUACACCUCUUUUCUUAGGGAAGGACAAAAUGACGGUACCUGAUGAAUCAGCUCCGGCUAACUCCGUG
RNAcentral lists this ribosomal RNA (435 nucleotides) under uncultured bacterium. RNAcentral describes it as "partial 16S ribosomal RNA". It matches the Rfam family "Bacterial small subunit ribosomal RNA", at positions 28 to 507 of the family's 1533-position model. The record is from RNAcentral.